CCUCCUAAAUACACUUCACAACAUCAUGGGCUUAAAGAACAAAUGGGCCUCACUUGAAUUAACUUGAAUAACCCACGAACCUGAAACACUUAAUAAACCCAUUAGUGCACACUUAUCAUUCAAGCCUCAAAUCCGAUUUGCAACCCAUUUUUUUUUUACAUUCUUGAGCUCAAAACAGACCCUCAAAUAACUUUCUUUUAGCAAGACUCAAUUUACUCAUGAACAUGCUUUAGGGACCCAGAAUGAUAAUUAACAUAUGAGUACUUGGAAGUAUUAACAUAAAAUCAUUCAAAAAUAUGUACCUUGAGUCUCUCUCUCGUCUGUGUUCUGUGCCAACCAUUUGUUCAGGACAGAGCUAGAAACUACCACAACCUUCUGAAUCUUUGACAGAUCAGCUCUGAGUUCAGUGGCUAGUCUUUCACUCUGGCAUACCUUUAACUCAAGCUUCCA
Molecule: long non-coding RNA, 450 nt
Filed under: Capsella rubella
Lineage: Eukaryota; Viridiplantae; Streptophyta; Magnoliopsida; Brassicales; Brassicaceae
Description: long non-coding RNA (CRUB_LNC002770)
Source: RNAcentral